AAUGGGGAAACCCAGCAUGAGUUAUGUCAUGUUAUCGAUAUGUGAAUACAUAGCAUAUCAGAAGGCACACCCGGAGAACUGAAACAUCUUAGUACUCGGAGGAAGAGAAAGAAAAUUCGAUUCCCUUAGUAGCGGCGAGCGAAACGGGAAGAGCCCAAACCAACAAGCUUGCUUGUUGGGGUUGUAGGACACUCUAUACGGAGUUACAAAGGACGACAUUAGACGAAUCAUCUGGAAAGAUGAAUCAAAGAAGGUAAUAAUCCUGUAGUCGAAAAUGUUGUCUCUCUUGAGUGGAUCCUGAGUACGACGGAGCACGUGAAAUUCCGUCGGAAUCUGGGAGGACCAUCUCCUAAGGCUAAAUACUCUCUAGUGACCGAUAGUGAACCAGUACCGUGAGGGAAAGGUGAAAAGCACCCCGGAAGGGGAGUGAAACAGAACCUGAAACCGUGUGCUUACAAGUAGUCAGAGCCCGUUAAUGGGUGAUGGCGUGCCUUUUGUAGAAUGAACCGGCGAGUUACGAUUUGAUGCAAGGUUAAGCAGUAAAUGUGGAGCCGUAGCGAAAGCGAGUCUGAAUAGGGCGUUUAGUAUUUGGUCGUAGACCCGAAACCAGGUGAUCUACCCUUGGUCAGGUUGAAGUUCAGGUAACACUGAAUGGAGGACCGAACCGACUUACGUUGAAAAGUGAGCGGAUGAACUGAGGGUAGCGGAGAAAUUCCAAUCGAACCUGGAGAUAGCUGGUUCUCUCCGAAAUAGCUUUAGGGCUAGCCUCAAGUGAUGAUUAUUGGAGGUAGAGCACUGUUUGGACGAGGGGCCCCUCUCGGGUUACCGAAUUCAGACAAACUCCGAAUGCCAAUUAAUUUAACUUGGGAGUCAGAACAUGGGUGAUAAGGUCCGUGUUCGAAAGGGAAACAGCCCAGACCACCAGCUAAGGUCCCAAAAUAUAUGUUAAGUGGAAAAGGAUGUGGCGUUGCCCAGACAACUAGGAUGUUGGCUUAGAAGCAGCCAUCAUUUAAAGAGUGCGUAAUAGCUCACUAGUCGAGUGACACUGCGCCGAAAAUGUACCGGGGCUAAACAUAUUACCGAAGCUGUGGAUUGUCCUUUGGACAAUGGUAGGAGAGCGUUCUAAGGGCGUUGAAGCAUGAUCGUAAGGACAUGUGGAGCGCUUAGAAGUGAGAAUGCCGGUGUGAGUAGCGAAAGACGGGUGAGAAUCCCGUCCACCGAUUGACUAAGGUUUCCAGAGGAAGGCUCGUCCGCUCUGGGUUAGUCGGGUCCUAAGCUGAGGCCGACAGGCGUAGGCGAUGGAUAACAGGUUGAUAUUCCUGUACCACCUAUAAUCGUUUUAAUCGAUGGGGGGGACGCAGUAGGAUAGGCGAAGCGUGCGAUUGGAUUGCACGUCUAAGCAGUAAGGCUGAGUAUUAGGCAAAUCCGGUACUCAUUAAGGCUGAGCUGUGAUGGGGAGAAGACAUUGUGUCUUCGAGUCGUUGAUUUCACACUGCCGAGAAAAGCCUCUAGAUAGAAAAUAGGUGCCCGUACCGCAAACCGACACAGGUAGUCAAGAUGAGAAUUCUAAGGUGAGCGAGCGAACUCUCGUUAAGGAACUCGGCAAAAUGACCCCGUAACUUCGGGAGAAGGGGUGCUCUUUAGGGUUAACGCCCAGAAGAGCCGCAGUGAAUAGGCCCAAGCGACUGUUUAUCAAAAACACAGGUCUCUGCUAAACCGUAAGGUGAUGUAUAGGGGCUGACGCCUGCCCGGUGCUGGAAGGUUAAGAGGAGUGGUUAGCUUCUGCGAAGCUACGAAUCGAAGCCCCAGUAAACGGCGGCCGUAACUAUAACGGUCCUAAGGUAGCGAAAUUCCUUGUCGGGUAAGUUCCGACCCGCACGAAAGGCGUAACGAUUUGGGCACUGUCUCAACGAGAGACUCGGUGAAAUCAUAGUACCUGUGAAGAUGCAGGUUACCCGCGACAGGACGGAAAGACCCCGUGGAGCUUUACUGUAGCCUGAUAUUGAAAUUCGGCACAGCUUGUACAGGAUAGGUAGGAGCCUUUGAAACGUGAGCGCUAGCUUACGUGGAGGCGCUGGUGGGAUACUACCCUAGCUGUGUUGGCUUUCUAACCCGCACCACUUAUCGUGGUGGGAGACAGUGUCAGGCGGGCAGUUUGACUGGGGCGGUCGCCUCCUAAAAGGUAACGGAGGCGCUCAAAGGUUCCCUCAGAAUGGUUGGAAAUCAUUCAUAGAGUGUAAAGGCAUAAGGGAGCUUGACUGCGAGACCUACAAGUCGAGCAGGGUCGAAAGACGGACUUAGUGAUCCGGUGGUUCCGCAUGGAAGGGCCAUCGCUCAACGGAUAAAAGCUACCCCGGGGAUAACAGGCUUAUCUCCCCCAAGAGUUCACAUCGACGGGGAGGUUUGGCACCUCGAUGUCGGCUCAUCGCAUCCUGGGGCUGUAGUCGGUCCCAAGGGUUGGGCUGUUCGCCCAUUAAAGCGGUACGCGAGCUGGGUUCAGAACGUCGUGAGACAGUUCGGUCCCUAUCCGUCGUGGGCGUAGGAAAUUUGAGAGGAGCUGUCCUUAGUACGAGAGGACCGGGAUGGACAUACCUCUGGUGUACCAGUUGUCGUGCCAACGGCAUAGCUGGGUAGCUAUGUGUGGACGGGAUAAGUGCUGAAAGCAUCUAAGCAUGAAGCCCCCCUCAAGAUGAGAUUUCCCAACUUCGGUUAUAAGAUCCCUCAAAGAUGAUGAGGUUAAUAGGUUCGAGGUGGAAGCAUGGUGACAUGUGGAGCUGACGAAUACUAAUCGAUCGAAGACUUAAUCAA
RNAcentral lists this ribosomal RNA (2808 nucleotides) under Staphylococcus aureus C1891. Its description in RNAcentral is "bacterial LSU rRNA". It matches the Rfam family "Bacterial large subunit ribosomal RNA". The record is from RNAcentral. Lineage: Bacteria; Bacillati; Bacillota; Bacilli; Caryophanales; Staphylococcaceae.